AGCAGCCGCGGUAAUUCCAGCUCCAAUAGCGUAUAUUAAAGUUGUUGCAGUUAAAAAGCUCGUAGUUGAAUUUCGGUAUUAGUGCGCUGGUCAUGCCUUUGGUAUGUACUGGUGUUACUGAUUUCUACCUUCUGAAGAACCGUUAUGUCAUUUAUUUGGUGUGGCGGGGAAUCAGGACUGUUACUUUAGAAAAAAUUAGAGUGUUUAAAGCAGGCUCGCGCUUGAAUACAUUAGCAUGGAAUAAUGAAAUAGGACGUUUGACCCUAUUUUGUUGGUUUCUAGGAUCGACGUAAUGAUUAAUAGGGAUAGUUGGGGGCAUUAGUAUUCAAUUGUCAGAGGUGAAAUUCUUGGAUUUAUUGAAGACUAACUACUGCGAAAGCAUUUGCCAAGGAUGUUUUCAUUAAUCAAGAACGAAGUUAGGGGAUCGAAGACGAUCAGAUACCGUCGUAGUCUUAACCAUAAACUAUGCCGACUAGGGAUCGGAUGAUGUUAAUUUUUUAAUGACUCAUUCGCGCCUUAC
RNAcentral lists this ribosomal RNA (520 nucleotides) under uncultured Glomeromycotina. RNAcentral's name for it is "SSU rRNA". It matches the Rfam family "Eukaryotic small subunit ribosomal RNA", at positions 569 to 1091 of the family's 1831-position model. Lineage: Eukaryota; Fungi; Glomeromycota. The record is from RNAcentral.